Molecule: ribosomal RNA, 433 nt
Filed under: uncultured bacterium
Lineage: Bacteria
Description: partial 16S ribosomal RNA
Rfam family: Bacterial small subunit ribosomal RNA
Source: RNAcentral
AGCGAACGCUGGCGGCAGGCCUAACACAUGCAAGUCGAACGAACUCUUCGGAGUUAGUGGCGGACGGGUGAGUAACACGUGGGAACGUGCCUUUUGGUUCGGAAUAACUCAGGGAAACUUGUGCUAAUACCGAAUGUGCCCUUCGGGGGAAAGAUUUAUCGCCAUUAGAGCGGCCCGCGUCUGAUUAGCUAGUUGGUUAGGUAACGGCUCACCAAGGCGACGAUCAGUAGCUGGUCUGAGAAGAUGACCAGCCACACUGGGACUGAGACACGGCCCAGACUCCUACGGGAGGCAGCAGUGGGGAAUCUUGCGCAAUGGGCGGAAGCCUGACGCAGCCAUGCCGCGUGAAUGAUGAAGGUCUUAGGAUUGUAAAAUUCUUUCACCGGGGACGAUAAUGACGGUACCCGGAGAAGAAGCCCCGGCUAACUUCGUG